CUGCUGCCUUCCGUAGGAGUCUGGGCCGUGUCUCAGUCCCAAUGUGGCCGUCCACCCUCUCAGGCCGGCUACCGAUCGUCGCCUUGGUGGGCCGCUGCCCCGCCAACCAGCUAAUCGGACGCGGGCCCAUCCCAUACCACCGGAGUUUUUCACACUCUCCCAUGCGGGAAUGUGCGCUUAUGCGGUGUUAGCGCCUGUUUCCAGGCGUUAUCCCCCGGUAUGGGGCAGGUUGCCCACGCGUUACUCACCCGUCCGCCACUAAG
RNAcentral lists this ribosomal RNA (263 nucleotides) under uncultured bacterium. RNAcentral's name for it is "partial 16S ribosomal RNA". The record is from RNAcentral.